UUUCCGUAGGUGAACCUGCGGAAGGAUCAUUACUGAAAUGUAAUAACUUCUAUUGAAAGGUUCCAGAGUAGGCGCUACAACGCCGAAAUGACCUUCUCACCCUUGUGUACUCACUAUGUUGCUUUGGCGGGUCGACCUGGUUCCGACCCAGGCGGCCGGCGCCCCCGGAGGCCUUCAAACACUGCAUCGUUGCGUCGGAGUUUAAGUAAAUUAAACAAAACUUUCAACAACGGAUCUCUUGGGUCUGGCAUCGAUGAAGAACGCAGC
This 267-nucleotide unclassified non-coding RNA is filed under the name uncultured fungus. Its description in RNAcentral is "sequence contains ITS1, 5.8S rRNA gene". The stretch from base 219 to 267 matches the Rfam family "5.8S ribosomal RNA", at positions 1 to 49 of the family's 154-position model. The record is from RNAcentral. Lineage: Eukaryota; Fungi.